Myotis myotis is the source of this 3087-nucleotide long non-coding RNA. RefSeq lists it as uncharacterized. NCBI's taxonomy places the organism in Eukaryota, Metazoa, Chordata, Mammalia, Chiroptera, Vespertilionidae. The transcript has 8 exons. The record is from RefSeq and is a predicted model, not a curated record.
UCACUUCCACUCUCCCUAAAAAUCAAUGGAAAAAAUAUCCUCGAGUGAGGAUUAACAGCAAUAACAAAAAAAUUUAAAAUUAAAAAAACGAAGCCAUGGACAUACCAGAAGAAGCCUCAGAGGAUUAAAAAAUAUAUAAUCUCAGAGUGGGGAAGGUGUAACUAUGACAGAAAGCAUAAAAUUCAUAAAAUGUAAUGUUGAUAAUUCGAUGACAUAAAAAUAAAAAUGUUUUUUAUGACAGUAGAGUGAAAAAAGUGAGAUGGGGGUUGUGUGAGUAUACUCAGUGCCACGGAGCUGUAUAGUUAAAAAUAUUUAAAGUGGUAAAUUUUAUUUUGUUAUGUGUAACUAACUACAGUAGUAAGUAAAUAAAUAAAACCGCUAAAAUGUUUUAAAGGUCACCCAUGUUCUAGCUAAGUGAAUUUUGCACAGCGUUCUGGUCCCAUCCUCUGGGAGACAGACACUGGUGCAGUGGUUUGAUUUCAGGCUCUGGGAGAGUCUUGCUUGGGUUUGAGUCCCAGCUACCUGACACCCCGCCUGUGAAACUUGUUGCCAGUUACUCCACCUUCUAAAGUUUCUGUUUCUGUGGCUAUGUAAUGAGCUGUUUACAGUUCUUCCAUAGGGUUAUUAAACUAUUCAGUAAGAUGAUGUAUGUGCAGUACUUAGCAUAGUAUCUGGUAUACAUAUAAUACAUAGCCAUUAUAUGUUCAUAAACAAUAUAAUUAAUAGAUGUCCAGUUCUUAUUUUGGAUUCUCAAGUAAGCACAAGCAGCACUAUAUUAACCUUGUAAAUAUGUUUUCUCAUUUUUAAACACUGCUCUUAUUACCCUUAAAAAGAACAAAUGAUUUUUUUUUGGUGGCAUUUAAUGAACAGAAUUAAUGUAUUGCAAAAAAUGGUCAAAAUGGUACAUUUUAUGUCAUAUUUCACCACAAUAUUUUGAAAAGCUUAAAAAGAAAAGGGUAUUUGUUAAGUUUAGGGUCAUCUCUAAUUAUCUUAGAGAGAACCUGGUAUGGAUUUGUUUGUGGAACUAAUCAGUGACACACCCAUACACAGACAAUGGAAAAUGUUUGCAAUCCAUACAUCAAAAGGCUAAUUUCCCUGAUAGUGUCUAUAAAUACAUGAGAAAAAGCAAACAAACCAAUAGAAAAAUAAGCAAAGGCUAUGAACAUGGUUUUCAGAAAAGGAAAUACAAAAGGCUUCUAAAAUGUGAAAACAUUUAUAGUUUGAGACUAUUGGGACAUAAAUUAUAUAGAGAAUGCAUAAAUUUAAGUAAAGAGUUGCAGUUAGUGUCACUCAGAUGCAAAGGUGGCGUUGAUCCUUCCUUGAUAGUUUAACUUUUGCUUCCCUCCCUUCGAUCCAAGGCUGAGUUUUCCCCAGCUUCGUUGACCAGAGAAGCAAGGAGUUUGCGUGUGUGGAAGCCACAACUACCUUUCAAGUUCAGGCUCCCUGCAGAUUAAGGAGUUUCUCAAAGUCCACCUUCUUGCAAGUGUGGAAUUUUGGAGGAUCAGUAGAGCUCUUAUGAGUCAAUUCUCUGUUCAUGAGUGAAAUUCUGAACCCUUGAGUCCACUACCCGUUGCCUACUGCCACUCAAUGGCUGUUUCCUAUUGACUGCCUACCACAGAGCCCUCCCAAUAAAUGAAAACAUCUGAUUAUGGGUUUGAAAGGAUGCACAGACGGACAGUGCAAGAAGUAAGAGGUCUAAGUUAGGAAAAGCCAAGAUGGAGUGAGUCACGUGGAAAGAGCAGCCAAAGGGUUCUCAUGGCUCCCAGGGAAAAGCUGCUCCUUACCUACCAGCUGGAACAAGAACCAUCCUGUGGCCUUUGCUUUAUUCUAUUUGUCAAAGCAAGUUGCAUGACUGACUCCAAAGUUAAUAUUCAAGGAAGUACACUUAUUCCUGAGUGAGGAGCACUGCAAAGUACUUAUAUCACUGUGUCAUAGGCGGAAUGCUGGCUCCUCAAAGAUGUAAACAUCCUAAUCCCCCGAAUCUGUGAAGAUGUUAUGCUACCUGGCGAAGGGGAGCUCAGGUUGCAGGUGGAAUUAAGUUUGCUCAUUUGCUCACCUUCAAGUAGGAAGGUUAUGAUUUGGAUUACCCCAGUGGAUUCCAGAUGGAGGCAGGGGACAUGAGUCAAGGAGUGCAGGCGGCCUCUAGAAGAUGGAAAAGGCCAGGAAAAGGACUCCCCUCUCGAGCCUUCAGCAAGGAAGCAACCUGGUCAACACCCUGACGUCAGUCCAGUGAGACCCAUGUUGGACUUUUAUCCCACAGCAGGGUAUUGGCAGUGAGGAGAAUAAAAAUGCCACGAGGAGACCAAAUUACUCUACCCACCGCAGAAUGAGGCCGAGACUUGGAAGGACAUUUUAUAAGAAGAUUGGAGAAAGGAGGAAGUGGAGGUGGGUGAACUCAGAGCUGUAGAACUUUUGAGGACAGAGAAAGAAACUCAAAGAAUAUUUAAGAGGAAGGCUUUCUAUAGAAUAUGCAGUGUAAGAAACACCCGGCAAAUGUUAGCUUUGCAGGAGAUUGGAUGCAUGAAUCGCUGAGGUUGGCCAUAGGGCAAGAGUAGGAUGACUCCAGCCGGAAUAGUUUCAGGUGGUAAUGAUGAGGCAAAUGGGAAGGGAGGAUGCAAAGUGGUCUUUCCAGUAGCAGGUCCUUCAGCAGGCACGCUUGCUCAGCACUCGGGAAGAAUUCUUCAGAAAGGUUGCAGGAAGAAGCGACACCUCAUGGUAGCCCAAGAAAGAGAGAAAGAGGGCGUUUACCUGCCUGCUCCCUCCCAUCUCCUUUCCCUUGGCCAAGGUUUAUUCUGCAGAGCCAACUCCCCUGAACUCCCAGGCGGGGCCACUUGGCUGCUCUGUAGCCACUCAGGAAAUUAAUGUCACACCUCAUGGCGUGUCCAUUUCAUUCAAGUCUGGAAGUGGGAUGUGGCUCGAAUGGGUGAGGCACUGACGAAAAGAAAGAACAGAAGGAGCAAUAGAAGGAAUCUGAGAAGGCUAUAAAUGUUUGUCUCUGUGAUGAAGAAAAACUUUUAUUUAAAUCUUGCUCCGCCCAGCCAGUGUGACUCAGUAGUUGAGCAUAGACCUAUGAACUAAGAGGUCACC